Molecule: ribosomal RNA, 406 nt
Filed under: uncultured bacterium
Lineage: Bacteria
Description: partial 16S ribosomal RNA
Rfam family: Bacterial small subunit ribosomal RNA
Source: RNAcentral
AUUGAACGCUGGCGGCAGGCCUAACACAUGCAAGUCGAGCGAGCGGCGGACGGGUGAGUAAUGUCUGGGAAACUGCCUGAUGGAGGGGGAUAACUACUGGAAACGGUAGCUAAUACCGCAUACCAUCAGAUGUGCCCAGAUGGGAUUAGCUAGUAGGUGGGGUAACGGCUCACCUAGGCGACGAUCCCUUGCUGGUCUGAGCGGAUGACCAGCCACACUGGAACGGAGCAACGGUCCAGACUCCUACGGGAGGCAGCAGUGGGGAAUAUUGCAAAAUGGGCGCAAGCCUGCGGCAGCCAUGCCGCGUGUGUUAAGAAGGCCUUCGGGUUGUAAAGCACUUUCAGCGGGGAGGCGUUACCCGCAGAAGAAGCACCGGGUAACUCCGUGGCAGCAGCCGCGGUAAUAC